UACGGGGGGGGCAAGCGUUGUUCGGAAUUACUGGGCGUAAAGGGCGUGUAGGCGGCCUGCUAAGUCGAACGUGAAAUCCCUGGGCUCAACCCAGGAACUGCGUCCGAUACUGGUUGGCUUGAAUCCGGGAGAGGGAUGUGGAAUUCCAGGUGUAGCGGUGAAAUGCGUAGAUAUCUGGAGGAACACCGGUGGCGAAGGCGACAUCCUGGACCGGUAUUGACGCUGAGGCGCGAAAGCCAGGGGAGCAAACGGG
RNAcentral lists this ribosomal RNA (253 nucleotides) under uncultured bacterium. RNAcentral describes it as "partial 16S ribosomal RNA". It matches the Rfam family "Bacterial small subunit ribosomal RNA", at positions 524 to 776 of the family's 1533-position model. The record is from RNAcentral.